This 463-nucleotide ribosomal RNA is filed under the name Escherichia coli. RNAcentral's name for it is "bacterial SSU rRNA". It matches the Rfam family "Bacterial small subunit ribosomal RNA", at positions 11 to 470 of the family's 1533-position model. Lineage: Bacteria; Pseudomonadati; Pseudomonadota; Gammaproteobacteria; Enterobacterales; Enterobacteriaceae. The record is from RNAcentral.
GUUUGAUCAUGGCUCAGAUUGAACGCUGGCGGCAGGCCUAACACAUGCAAGUCGAACGGUAACAGGAAGCAGCUUGCUGUUUCGCUGACGAGUGGCGGACGGGGGAGUAAUGUCUGGGAAACUGCCUGAUGGAGGGGGAUAACUACUGGAAACGGUAGCUAAUACCGCAUAACGUCGCAAGACCAAAGAGGGGGACCUUCGGGCCUCUUGCCAUCGGAUGUGCCCAGAUGGGAUUAGCUAGUAGGUGGGGUAACGGCUCACCUAGGCGACGAUCCCUAGCUGGUCUGAGAGGAUGACCAGCCACACUGGAACUGAGACACGGUCCAGACUCCUACGGGAGGCAGCAGUGGGGAAUAUUGCACAAUGGGCGCAAGCCUGAUGCAGCCAUGCCGCGUGUAUGAAGAAGGCCUUCGGGUUGUAAAGUACUUUCAGCGGGGAGGAAGGGAGUAAAGUUAAUACCUUU